Molecule: RNA transcript, 3057 nt
Organism: Dreissena polymorpha
Lineage: Eukaryota; Metazoa; Mollusca; Bivalvia; Myida; Dreissenidae
Exons: 5
Source: RefSeq, a predicted model, not a curated record
CUAUAUUGAAUGUUUUACACGUAAAAGGAAAGUACAAACUAAUACAUUAUAAAGGAAAUAAAUUCAAGAUUACUACUUCGAUAGUUACAUAGACACUUAGACAAAAUGUAUCGUUUGUUUCUAGUUAUGUUUUGUUCGCUACAUGAUUACAUAUUAUAGUAUGCCAAAAUUUUCUUGAAAAUAAUGUUCGACCGUAACAUCUUUUUUUUUGCACAUAGUAAUACGUUUUGUUAAUCGUUUAAAAUACAGUCACAAUACGUUUAUUAAAAUAUGACACACUACAACAUAUAGUACAAACCACUGCUACAUAAUGCCUCCUUGCAUUAUUUGACCGAAACGUCAUUCUUUAAACAUAGACGAAGGUUUGUUCGCUGUAUCGGAUGCCGGAGGUCGGUGUUAUUUCUUAUUCUAACCGAACAAUUUUAGCACAUAAAUUGACAUUUUAAAUGUUUUACACUUGCAUGUACACAUGUUAAAAUCCACUAUAUUUCAUUACUAUAUGAAAUUAAUUCACCGUUCUCAAGCUUAUUAUUACCUUAUUUAAAAUUUUAGAUGUAUUUGUAAUAAACAUCCAUGAUUUGUGUACUGUACUUUUUAUGUAGACUGUAAGUGAGAUUUGUUGAUAAAAUAAAAUACAUGAAAUAACAGAGACAGCUCCAUUAAAAAACUUGAUCCGCAAACGAUAUAGAAAUAAACACAAUAUUAUCGAUGUAAUGCUUUUUGAACUUCAGCUUUACACCAUUAGUACUUAGCGUCCCCUGCACGACUUAUCCCUAAUAAGUGACAUUUUACGUUCAUGUACAUAAGAAGAGAAUAUAAUAUUUUACGUUAUAAUGUUUUGAUUUUUUUUCAGAUGUGCAUCCGGAUAUAUCCGGUCUACAAACACAUACAAAAACACCUAAGACCCAGCAGGAUGAGAACAUUUAUUCGUUUGCAAAAUGCGUUCCAGACGUGCCAUCUCCUGUUCAAGACGUGUCAUCUCCCGGUGAGCAGGUGCCUCAAACUGUGGAAGAUGAUAUUGAAGAUGAUCCACUGUACAGUACUGUCAUUCAUAGAACGGCCAGGCAAAUCUAAUUAGAAUGUUAAACUCAAGCAAAGUUUACAGAACUCCAAUAUCAUCGAAACUGCAGAGAGAUUGCUCUAAUUGUAAUCUUGCAUGUUUAAACGGUUUGUAAUGAUAUAUUGUUAUUGUGUGUACUAAUUGUUAUAUAUUAUUACAUUAUUGAUGUAUAUUGUCUUUUUAUAGCUUACCAUGUAAGGUGCAUCUGUUGUGCUUAGGAAAGAUUUUACUGUAUGCGUAUUAAAGAUAUGUGUUUUCAAAACAAAUAUACAUUGUGACUUUUUUCAGAUGUAAAUGUCAAAAACGAAUUUAUGAAUUCUGAGAAUGACUAUCAUAUAACCAUCUAAUUUCGUUGCCUAUAGACACUGAGAGACAAACGACCGAAUAAACAAAUUAUAGAAGGGAACCUUUUUGGCAUGAAGUUGAUAUUUACUAUGAGAAGACGAAACAAUGUUAUUUUAUGUGUAUAAAUACAAUCAAUAUCACGAACUGAAUCCUUAACGAGUAAACAUUUAUGCAUUUUUAUAAGUUGAAAACUUUCAUUAGCGUAAUAACAAUAAAGUUAAUACACACAUAAAUAAGUCAAAAUAAUGUAUAUGGAUCAUACAAGUCAAAUGUGAUGUAUAUGUAUGCAAUUUCGAUACUUAUUUCGUACACUCGUUCAUUAAAUGUUAUUGUUCAUUUUUACAAAACUCUGAAUAUGAACACCCAUUUUGUCAGGCUGAUAUGUGUAGGCAUUAUUGUUUUUGUUGCGGUAUUUAUAGUAACAUUAUUAGAUGGAGUAUUUAACUACUUAAGCAUAGGUUGACACAUACGAUAGGUCAGACCAGAAAAUAAAUGGAAUCUGCACGAACAGUAAGUCGGUGUUUUUUUAAAACUCUUUUUGUUAUUUUGACAAUACGCUUUCCAUGUCAAACACAUGUGAAUAAUGAGCGAAAUAACUUAAGUGUGUUAGGUUAACGUCGAAGUCGUAUGUCUUACAGUUUACCUUUCUUUAACAGACUCUUUUUUCAAACAUACUGAAACAUUUUGAGGAAAUAAAAGUUUCAACACAACCGUGGAGUACUAGCAAAAUCCUGAUAACCAGUAAACAAUUUUAAGGAAACAUGGAUAUACAUAACAAAAUUUGUUUAUGAAUCAUCAUACAUGUACUCUCAAUAAAAAAGAACAGAAUAUUAAUGCCUUACAAAGUAACACAUAGGGAACAAACACACAGAAAUAAACCAAAUGAUACAUACUUAACCCAGUUAAACCAUUAUGAAAACACUUAAAGCGAUUGCAGAAAUUACGAUUAAAAAGGCGACAGCAACUGUUGCGGUUGUCGAAAAUCGCAUUUCAUCCGCGGUAUGAAUCGAAACGUAAUAUUUGUCCCAUAUGAACGUGAGUUUCUACGACCAACAUAUUUUUUUUCAAACCAAAUGAAACGUUAUACAACACUGUAAUUGAAUGUAAGAAGUUGUGCGAGAAUAUAAACGAUGGAGUAGAGUUCUAUUCAUUUGAAAAUAAUAGUCUGAUGUAUAUUUGAAAACUCUUUAUAUACACAAGACAUGUACAAUGUCAGGAAAUCAAAAUUGUUAUGCACAGAUUCGUUCACACAGCACAAUAUUGGUCCCGCAACAAAUACGAGAAAACGUGUUUGUUAUGCAUUUCGUUGAAGUUGUAUAAGCGGUUAUUUUACCCAAUGUAUUUAUGUGUUUGUUCCAUCUAUUUUUAUCGAAAUAACAUUCAAUAUUUAUUGUUGGCUUUAUGUCAUUAAUAUGUGUGCUUUUUUCUAUUGAUUUCGUUUGCAGAACCGAUUUUCGGAAGAACCUUUUAAAUUUUCGUGAGACAAUAUUAUAAUUAUAUAACAAUGAGCUUGAUAUUGUCGACUAGAGCCUUAUUCAAGAGUUAGGUAGUAUCUGUCAGGACGUUGAAAUAUGUCAUAUAAACAUUUGCGUAAUUAUUAUGCAUGUGGUGUUUUCUUUUUCAGCUUAAAGAAUGUGUUUCAAAUUCAACGU